RNAcentral lists this transfer RNA (77 nucleotides) under Rhodobiaceae bacterium. RNAcentral describes it as "tRNA-Pro". It matches the Rfam family "tRNA". Rfam says of the family: Transfer RNA (tRNA) molecules are approximately 80 nucleotides in length. Their secondary structure includes four short double-helical elements and three loops (D, anti-codon, and T loops). Lineage: Bacteria; Pseudomonadati; Pseudomonadota; Alphaproteobacteria; Hyphomicrobiales; Rhodobiaceae. The record is from RNAcentral.
CGGAGUGUGGCGCAGCCUGGUAGCGCACCUCGUUCGGGACGAGGGGGUCGCAGGUUCGAAUCCUGACGCUCCGACCA